AUGAAUGAGACAUGCAUGACCUUCUAUGACUCUGUGGUGGCCUCAGCCAUCUUUUACGGUGUGGUCUGCAGCAGCAUCUCUGCUGGCGACAGGAAGAGACUGAACAGGCUGAUCAGAAGGGCCAGCUCUAUUCUAGGAUGCCCUCUGGACCCAGUGGAGGUGGUGAGUGACAGGAGAAUGGUGGCUAAGCUGUCAUCCCUGAUGGACAACAUCUCCCACCCCAUGCAGGAGACUCUGACAGCACUGAGCAGCAGUGGCGUGUCCAGCGGGGUGGCCUGGGGGUCCACAGGCCACACCCCUCCCCCCCAGACUUCUGGUUAUUCUUCUUCAGGCAAACAGGCAGACGGGGAUCCAGGCGGAAAGCAUAGAGAGUGACGCUCAAGUAGGCUUUUUAAAAUAUUUGAUUCCUCAUCAUCAGCGGCUUCUUUGUUUUUAGUCUCAGGGCAUGACCAUCACAUGCGUUUGGUCAGGUGUUCAGUUAGUCUGUAAAGAUGGGUUGACGCCCUCUUCUGGACAACAUGAGCAAAACUUCCCUUAAAAUGUUGUUCAGAACAGGGCUUCACGUUGUCAUGUUUUUGCUUAGAGAAAGGUCCUGUGGUGUCUUCUGGUGUUUUUACUGCCAAAUCUGAUCAUAGAUAGCUUAGUGAAAUGUAUCUAGAUGUGAUUUCUGUUGCAAAUCUAUUUUGUCACGUCGAAAUUACUUCAACGUGAAGCUCAGAGAGAUUUGGAUCUGACAGCAACAUGCUGGGUCUAGUACAAAGACUCUGGACCUCAGGAUCUGAGGUAUUCAGGUUCGGUAGUCCACAAAAAUGUACAUUCUGGACCUCUAAGACUUCCAUAAUCCUAAUCAUUUGUUGUAGCUCAUCACAUUCCCUCGAUGGCUUCAUGUACUAUUAUCUAUUGAAAUCACCACUAAAUCCUUGACUUGGUGGAAAUGUUUCUCAUCUCUACAAUAGAGUUCAUAUGAUAUGAAAGCAGGAUAAUCUCCUGUAGUGUUUACAGUAAAAAUGUGUAGUUUUUUCAAGUUUUCUCCUGUACUCUGCCAUAGACACUAUAAAUUCAGCUGUUUCUCCCUGUGAUCAACAGAACACGCUUUAAAUGAUAACAUGGAUAACGCUUCAUUUUCUGGUUUUAGGCCCUGUUCAAGGCUGGAGAGCAGAAGUUUGGCACUGAUGAACAAUCUUUUGUUACCAUCCUGGGUAACCGGAGUUCAGAACACCUCAGGAAAGGUUUGUGAGUGUGGGGUAAAAACACAAGAGUUUGUAUGAGUGGGUGAAGACAGAGUGGUCCAGGGUGUGGACAGUGUUUUGCACUCUGAAACAAAUUACAUCUGCAGCCAUUGAUGUCAGUUUUGUGUUGGCUAAAGGAAGCAUGAAUAUAUGACAAGAUUGAACUGAGGCCAGCUUUGAUUUGAAGUUUACUCACCUCCACUUACUGCUACAGGUUCUUAUUUGGUCCUACACACUGUGGGUUGAGCUUUACUGAAACGGGAGAUAAGCCGUAUAGCUGCACUAAUGUCAGACUCAUUCCAAACUUUAUUUGCAUUCCAGUAUUCGGCGCUUACAUGAAGCUGUCUGGAUAUGAGAUGGAGGAGAGUAUCAAGAGAGAAACAUGUGGAAACCUGAAGGACCUCCUCCUUGCCGUUGGUAUGUGCUCUAGAUGACUCCCUGAAGUUAUUCUUUUGUUGGUUUGCCCCCCCCCCGUAUGCUGUUUUUUUUGUUUUUGUUUUUUACAUAUGUAUUGACCUCUCAUGACCACAAGAGGGAGUCAGAGGAGUUUUGUUAGAGAUGAGGUAAGCUGCUGAGCUCUGACCCUCUGUAGGCGUCUUCUUCAGCUGAUAGAUGGGGAAGUCACUCACUACUCAGUGUUCAUCUUCAACGUCACAGAAGAGCUGCAUGUUUUUAUUCCCGGGCUGUACUGAAACAGCUUUGCAUGAUUUACAAUUCUAAGUAAUUCAAAAUAAAAUAUUUAUUUUAAAUUGGGCCUUGGUGCAGCCCUUCUGUUCUUCCUCUGUCUGGGACAAGCUGGUUUGACUCCUCUUCCUUUAAGGCUGUCUUCCCUUUAAGCCAAGGGUGUCAAACUCAUUUUCCAUUGUACAUAUAUAUAUAUAUCACUUACAAAAAAGGCUAUUACAUAUAAGAGGCAAAUAUGUUCUUUAUCUACUCAAUUUAUCUUAAAAUUGAAAUUACUUACAGAUUCAGAUUUUACAUAUAAAAAAACACAGAACACUUAAACUCUUACCUGCAAUGGAGCGUUUUAUGUUAUUGCAUCAUUACUAAAGAAAAAGGUCAGAUUAAACCUCUACUGCAUGUAUAUCAUAUAUAUCAUCUACUGGUGAUGAGGCGUAAUGAAAAGCUUUACUGCAUUCAUUGUACCAAACGAUCUGGAUGGAUGUUCACUGUAAACUUUACUAUUGACCUUCAACUAAGUCAAUAGCUGCGUACUAAUGAUAAAAGUGAGAGGAAUGUGCUUUUCACGCCUCAGUGCAUGUGUGUGAUAAAGGAGGGAAUAUCUCAGGUCUUGUUAUGAUACUCUCAUUGUUUUCAUGGAAGAGGUUGGCGUUUGUUGCCACAGAAACCGGGAGCCAAUAAUGAGGUCCAAACAGCUGGGUGUGGGGUCAGACCACCUCGAGUCACUGGAAGAACAAUAUCUUUGACUCCUCCUACCCGGUUGCCUUGUGUGUCUUUGGGUGUGGGAGACUAUGAGCGGGCAUGUGAACAGUCACCUUUUCAGAUUUUGUCUUGGGUAUUUGGCUGAGCGUUGAGCUGUGCUUUGAUAUUUUUCCCUUCUGACAUGCAGUCCCUCCCCCUGCUCCACACACUGACCAAGGCUCUGUGAACUACAAAAGAAUCUGAUGGGAAGUUUGUUUAAGAAAGAGGAUUAGACGCUGGUUAAUGUGUCCAGAGAAAGAAGCAAAUCAAUGAAAGAUAAAUGGCUUUGUGACAAACGUUGUGCAGCCUAAUUGUGUCUGUGACUGUCUACGCUUCAAGAGGAAAAAGAUGGCUCAUUUAUAAUGUAAAAUGCUAACAAUGUCAUACGGUACUGCCUGGUGUAGUUACACUAAUGAAAAGCCCAUCAACUGGGAUAAAGCUGGAAUAGGCAGCAAAGGUAAUUGGAGAAAUAUAAGAAAUAAAUUAAAUUGUUUCCUCCCUUGAGAUGCUUUACUGAAACCUCCCUCAGUUGCUGUUUAUUUGUGCAUUAGUAUUCA
Molecule: long non-coding RNA, 3208 nt
Organism: Oreochromis niloticus (Nile tilapia)
Lineage: Eukaryota; Metazoa; Chordata; Actinopteri; Cichliformes; Cichlidae
Source: Ensembl